CUGAAAGACAAAGAGGGCUUUGAGACUACGUCUCUGACGUGUGCUUGGCUCUUACUCUUCGUCCACAUACACCUUUGUGCACUUAUGGGAGACUUCUCCCAUUUUCGUAACAAACACGUGGGAUAGACAUGCAUGUAUAUAGUAAUGCUCUACGGAGUAAUGUA
This 164-nucleotide unclassified non-coding RNA is filed under the name uncultured Geastrum. RNAcentral's name for it is "sequence contains ITS1". The record is from RNAcentral. Lineage: Eukaryota; Fungi; Basidiomycota; Agaricomycetes; Geastrales; Geastraceae.